RNAcentral lists this transfer RNA (77 nucleotides) under Verrucomicrobiia bacterium. Its description in RNAcentral is "tRNA-Arg". It matches the Rfam family "tRNA". From Rfam's summary of the family: Transfer RNA (tRNA) molecules are approximately 80 nucleotides in length. Their secondary structure includes four short double-helical elements and three loops (D, anti-codon, and T loops). Further hydrogen bonds mediate the characteristic L-shaped molecular structure. tRNAs have two regions of fundamental functional importance: the anti-codon, which is responsible for specific mRNA codon recognition, and the 3' end, to which the tRNAs corresponding amino acid is attached (by aminoacyl-tRNA synthetases). tRNAs cope with the degeneracy of the genetic code in two manners: having more than one tRNA (with a specific anti-codon) for a particular amino acid; and 'wobble' base-pairing, i.e. permitting non-standard base-pairing at the 3rd anti-codon position. The record is from RNAcentral. Lineage: Bacteria; Pseudomonadati; Verrucomicrobiota; Verrucomicrobiia.
GCGCCCUUAGCUCAGCUGGAUAGAGCAACGGACUUCUAAUCCGUAGGUCGCUGGUUCGAAUCCAGCAGGGCGUGCCA